Long non-coding RNA from Anolis sagrei ordinatus, 2108 nucleotides. RefSeq lists it as uncharacterized. Lineage: Eukaryota; Metazoa; Chordata; Lepidosauria; Squamata; Anolidae. The record is from RefSeq and is a predicted model, not a curated record.
GGGAGGGAUGAAAAGACUGUUGGCUGCAAGAUCCUCUUGAUGACAGAAAAUGUCAUAUAAUUACGUUACAAAAUGCUCAUCCAUCCUUAAGCGCUCACAAGAUGACUGCCUAUUAGAAAAUGUCGUGCCGCAAUCCCCUGCAUUGCUCUAUGGACAGACGCAGCACUGAAAGACCCUACAGACGGCUCCUAAACAUAGUGACCUAAAUAAUGCUAAGAUGACUUAAGUCGCACACAUACGCUCCUCAAUCUCUGAGCAGUGAAAUGAAACAAGGUCGGUCUAAUCAGACUAAAAGCACAGACUCUGCUAUAGUAUGAAUUCCAGAUUUGUAUCUUAUGGUAGGAACAAAGUGCAGGAUUUCUUUCUUUCUUUCUUUUGCUAUUGUGUUGUUGUUUUUUUCCCCUCGGAGGGUUUUUUCUCAGCUAUGGUUGCAGUUUCAUUCUGACAUCAUGGAGGUUGAGGCAGCCACUGAAGUAUGGUUUUAAUCAUUCACACGCGAAAAAACCUGAUUAAAAUACAAAAUUUCACCUUAAGCAACACCAAAGGUAAACAUGUGUGUAUGACUUUCCUUGUAACAGCAAUUCUUCUUACUUUUGAGAUAAAUAGGUUUUUUUUGUUCCGCUGCAUAAAAGAAAUCGCCAGCAUUUAAUGCGGAUGAUAAAGAAGGACAAUUGUAGAAAUUAGACUAAAAUAAAAAGGAAACAGGAUUACUAUAAUAAAAAUAAUUUUUAGGAAGUGAGGGGGAGUCAUCCACAUUCCUAAAAUAAACUUAAAUUGCAUUGAAGGUGUAAUACUGAGAAAAGAGAUUAAAUAUGGUUUCAAAUGCAUUGAAUGUGACCCUUUUUGCUUCCUAUUCAAUGCCAGCAUUUCCCCAAGGAGGGAUAUUAAAGAGGAAUAGAACAGCUUGCUCUGAUCAAGGCUGCAUUCCUAUAAGACUGAAGUGUUGGUUAAAAUAGAAAACAAGAUCCAAAAUAAUCCUACCUGGUUAUACAAUGGUCAAAUCUUUUCUUUCUACAAUACGCCACUGUUGUUGUUCUCUGCAUCCUCUUCCCUCCAUGACCAACACACAGAAAUUGAGAUCUGAUGAGAUUUUGCAAAACAGCUCAAAUAUUUCUAAUUCACUUCUUUGUGUUUUCUGCAAAUCCUUGUAAUCAUACAUUAUACACUCAUAUAAUAUGCUCUGCUAUGUGGCUGAUUAAUUUAAUGAAAACGUGGUUUCACUACAAAUUGUUGUCUCUCCAAAGGAAUCCUCAACAAUAAAUAUGGCUGCAUCUUCAAUACAUUUAUUUCUUAGUUCUAAGUAAACACAGCCAGUAGUUUGGGAUAUUAUUAAGAAAAAUUCCACUCAAAUAACAGAGUGCUGUAUAAGUGCCUAACAUAAUGCCAACCACAAUAUUUGCCAAAUUUCAAUUCCAUUUUUAUAAUGUGUUGAAUAGUGAAUUGCAUCUCAAUACAGUACGUUCUUAUUCAGAUACUAGAGGGUUUAUUCCCAAGCAAAUAUACUAUGUUCCAACCAAGUAGACAUGUAUAAUACUGUAAUUAUCUUUUGUCUUUUUUUAAUCUCCCUGCUUUUAUACACUGCUUUAUUUCUGAAUAUCAAAGACCCAUCAAAUUGAAGAUUUUAAUAAAAUUUAGCAUCUCUUUCCAAAAGCAUGACAACAGCCAAAUGGCAAUGGAGGAAAUUCAUAAAUUACAAGGGCUGGGCUCAUAGUCAGGUAUGACUCACCCAUAUUAUUGCAAAAGAAGCAUUCUUUUCCUGAGGCCAUGGUGAUACCCACAGCUUUACUGCAAUAUAUGUAGUUAAUAUUUUGAAACUAGGAAUCAUGUUCCAUGACAAAAUUUCUGAUGACAGGAAUGAACUUGGAUUUUAUAAUCUCAUCAGAAUAGUAGGGUUGACAUGUGCUUAUACCAAUGCAUGACUGCACUAUUGUAUGUUUGUAGCAGUGAAAGUCACAUAUUCAUACCUCUUUCUCUCUGAUCCACUCACCACCCAUAACUACUAUUGUAUCUUUGAUGACUGGUGAAAUAAUAACUUGGUUUGUGGGAGAAUCAAGAUUAUGAACACAAAUUGUAUCCACUUUAGGAAAAUAAAAAGGUAUUUAAAGCUU